UACGAAGGGGGCUAGCGUUGUUCGGAAUUACUGGGCGUAAAGCGCACGUAGGCGGAUAUUUAAGUCAGGGGUGAAAUCCUGGAGCUCAACUCCAGAACUGCCUUUGAUACUGGCAAUCUUGAGUCCGGAAGAGGUGAGUGGAACUCCUAGUGUAGAGGUGGAAUUCGUAGAUAUUAGGAAGAACACCAGUGGCGAAGGCGGCUCACUGGUCCGGUACUGACGCUGAGGUGCGAAAGCGUGGGGAGCAAACAGG
This 253-nucleotide ribosomal RNA is filed under the name uncultured bacterium. RNAcentral's name for it is "partial 16S ribosomal RNA". It matches the Rfam family "Bacterial small subunit ribosomal RNA", at positions 524 to 776 of the family's 1533-position model. The record is from RNAcentral.